Molecule: ribosomal RNA, 2349 nt
Filed under: Acrochaetium luxurians
Lineage: Eukaryota; Rhodophyta; Florideophyceae; Acrochaetiales; Acrochaetiaceae
Description: bacterial LSU rRNA
Rfam family: Bacterial large subunit ribosomal RNA
Source: RNAcentral
UCAAGCGUGAGGUAAGAGCAUUUGGUGGAUGCCUUGGCAUGUACAGGCGAUGAAGGACGUGGCACGCUGCGAUAAGCGUGGGGGAGCUGUGAGCAAGCUUUGAUCCCGCGAUUUCCGAAUGGGGAAACCCACCCUCACCAUUUCAUUUCGCUGCUGGUUCGCCAGUGUCGGAAUGAGGUGGAUAGGGUAUCACCUUGGUGAAUAAAAUAGCCUUGGUGAAGCGAACCCGGAGAACUGAAACAUCUCAGUACCCGGAGGAAAAGACAUCAACCGAGAUUCCGUUAGUAGUGGCGAGCGAACGCGGACCAGGCCAGUGCCUGAUGUUGAGUUAGCAGAACAUUCUGGAAAGUUUGACCAUAGCGGGUGACAGUCCCGUAUGCGAAAGCGAAACAUCAGGACUUGAGUAGGGCGGGACACGUGAAAUCCUGUCUGAACAUGGGGGGACCACCCUCCAAGCCUAAGUACUCCUCAUCGACCGAUAGUGAACCAGUACCGUGAGGGAAAGGUGAAAAGCACCCCGAUGAGGGGAGUGAAACAGUACCUGAAACCGAAUGCUUACAAUCAGUUGGAGGGUCCUUGAGGCCUGACAGCGUACCUCUUGUAUAAUGGGUCAGUGACUUAAUCUAUCAAGCGAGCUUAAGCCGUUAGGUGUAGGCGCAGCGAAAGCGAGUCUGAACAGGGCGACUGAGUUUGAUGGAUUAGACCCGAAACCCGGCGAUCUAGGCAUGACCAGGCUGAAGGUGCGGUAACACGCACUGGAGGGCCGAACCGUUUAAUGUUGAAAAAUUAUCGGAUGAGUUGUGUUUAGGGGUGAAAGGCCAAUCAAGCCGGGAAAUAGCUGGUUCUCCGCGAAAUCUAUUUAGGUAGAGCGUCGGAUGUUUACCUGUGGGGGUAGAGCACUGGAUGGGCUAGGGGGUCGCGAGAUCUACCAAACCUAACCAAACUCCGAAUACCACAGAGUUAGUCCGGCAGACAGACGGCGGGUGCUAAGGUCCGUCGUCAAAAGGGAAACAGCCCUAACCUACAGCUAAGGUCCCCAAAUCGUAUCUAAGUGGGAAAGCAUGUGGGAUUUCCAAAACAACCAGGAGGUUGGCUUAGAAGCAGCCAUCCUUUAAAGAAAGCGUAACAGCUCACUGGUCUAAAUAAGAGAUCCUGCGGCGAAAAUGUAACGGGGCUCAAGAUACGUACCGAAGCUUAGGGUGUGCAUUUAUGCACGCGGUAGCGGAGCGUUCCGUAAGCCUGUGAAGCGGGAGGGUAACCGACCGUGGAGGUAUCGGAAGUGAGAAUGCUGACAUGAGUAGCGAUAAAGAGGGUGAGAUGCCCUCUCGCCGAAAUCCCAAGGGUUCCUGCUUAAAGCUAAUCUGAGCAGGGUGAGCCGGCCCCUAAGACGAGCCCGAAGGGGGUAGUCGAUGGGAACCACGUUAAUAUUCGUGGGCCUGGAGGUGUGUGACGGAUGGCGUAAGUUGUCAGACCUUAUUGGAUUGGUCUGGCUUCGAAGUUGUCCCAGGAAAUAGCCCCUCCGUAUAGACCGUACCCUAAACCGACACAGGUGGGAUGGUAGAGUAUACCAAGGCGCUUGAGAGAAGUGUACUGAAGGAACUCGGCAAAUUACCUCCGUAACUUCGGGAGAAGGAGGCCCCACAUAUGGGCAACCAUGUGUGGGGGGCACAAGCCAGGGGGUAGCGACUGUUUAGCAAAAACACAGGACUCUGCUAAGUCGGCUUCAAGACGACGUAUAGGGUCUGACGCCUGCCCGGUGCUGGAAGGUUAAGAGGAGGAGUGCAAGCUCUGAAUUGAAGCCCCAGUAAACGGCGGCCGUAACAAUAACGGUCCUAAGGUAGCGAAAUUCCUUGUCGGGUAAGUUCCGACCCGCACGAAAGGCGUAACGAUUUGGGUACUGUCUCAGAGAGAGACUCGGCGAAAUAGACUUGUCUGUGAAGAUGCGGACUACCUGCACCUGGACAGAAAGACCCUAUGAAGCUUUACUGUAACUUGGAAUUGAGUUUGGGCUUUUCUUGCGCAGUAUAGGUGGGAGGCUAAGAAAAUAAGUUUGCGGAUUUAUUAGAGCCAUCAGUGAGAUACCACUCUAGGAAAGCUAAAAUUCUAACCUUGAAAGCCGUUAACCGGCCAAGGAACAGUUUCAGGCGGGCAGUUUGACUGGGGCGGUCGCCUCCUAAAAAGUAACGGAGGCGUGCAAAGGUUCCCUCAGGCUGGUUGGAAAUCAGUCGUAGAGUGUAAAGGCAUAAGGGAGCUUGACUGCAAGACCUACAAGUCGAGCAGAGACGAAAGUCGGCCUUAGUGAUCCGACAGUACCGAGUGGAAGGGCUGUCGCUCAACGGAUAAAAGUUA